RNAcentral lists this ribosomal RNA (481 nucleotides) under uncultured bacterium. RNAcentral's name for it is "partial 16S ribosomal RNA". It matches the Rfam family "Bacterial small subunit ribosomal RNA", at positions 28 to 507 of the family's 1533-position model. The record is from RNAcentral.
GAUGAACGCUGGCGGCGUGCCUAACACAUGCAAGUCGAACGGAGAUUACGGACGGAAGUUUUCGGAUGGAAGCCUGUAAUUCUUAGUGGCGGACGGGUGAGUAACGCGUGGGCAACCUGCCCUAUACAGGGGGAUAGCAGCUGGAAACGGCUGGUAAGACCGCAUAAGUCGGUUAAAUCGCAUGAUUUGAUCGGGAAAUGAGCAAUCAGGUAUAGGAUGGGCCCGCGUCCGAUUAGCCAGUUGGCAGGGUAAAAGCCUACCAAAGCGACGAUCGGUAGCCGGACUGAGAGGUCGGACGGCCACAUUGGGACUGAGACACGGCCCAAACUCCUACGGGAGGCAGCAGUGGGGGAUAUUGCACAAUGGAGGAAACUCUGAUGCAGCGACGCCGCGUGAGUGAAGAAGUAUUUCAGUAUGUAAAGCUCUAUCAGCAGGGAAGAUGAUGACGGUACCUGACGAAGAAGCCCCGGCUAACUACGUG